This 477-nucleotide ribosomal RNA is filed under the name Triticum aestivum (bread wheat). Its description in RNAcentral is "partial small subunit ribosomal RNA". The record is from RNAcentral. Lineage: Eukaryota; Viridiplantae; Streptophyta; Magnoliopsida; Poales; Poaceae.
AUGGGUUUUGUUAAGCUGAAUGUUGAUGCUUCUUUUGAUCAUGAUUUGCUUAGGGGCACAGCGGGGGCUGUUCUCGGGGAUGAUAAAGGAAGGUUCAUUGUUGGCGGCAAUUGGAAGAUUGAUUGGUGUGAUGAUGUUUUGACAGCAGAAGUGUUGGCCCUAAGAUUUGGCUUAUUACUUGCACAGAAGGCGGAAUGCAAUCGUCUUGUUAUUAACUCCGACAAUAUGGAAGUGAUUGACACAAUGAAGAAUGAAGGACAUUCCGUAGGAGCGGCGACGGCAGUGUUCGAUGAUUGUUUUUUUUUAGCGUGUGAUUUCUCUCUUACUAGUUUUGAACAUUGUAAUAGGAAAGCAAAUAAAGUUGCUCACGAACUUGUUGGGUUAGCGAAAUUUUCUGUGACAAGGGGUUGGUUUUAGGAGCCUAUGUUUGAAAUUGUAUCUUUUCUUAUUGACGAUGUAACAAUUAUUUUCAAUUAA